Molecule: ribosomal RNA, 269 nt
Filed under: uncultured prokaryote
Description: partial 16S ribosomal RNA
Rfam family: Bacterial small subunit ribosomal RNA
Source: RNAcentral
GACGAAGGUGGCAAGCGUUGUUCGGUAUUACUGGGCUUAAAGCGUGUGUAGGCGGAAAUGUAAGCGUUGCGUGAAAGCCCCCGGCUUAACCGGGGAACUGCGCAACGAACUGCGUUUCUUGAGGCAAGUAGGGGUGCAUGGAACUCUUGGUGGAGCGGUGGAAUGCGUAGAUAUCAAGAGGAACGCCAGUGGAGAAAUCGGUGCACUGGGCUUGUUCUGACGCUGAGACACGAAAGCGUGGGGAGCGAACGGGAUUAGAUACCCGUGUA